Molecule: ribosomal RNA, 737 nt
Filed under: uncultured bacterium
Lineage: Bacteria
Description: bacterial SSU rRNA
Rfam family: Bacterial small subunit ribosomal RNA
Source: RNAcentral
CGAUUUAUCGGGAUAGUGGCGGAUGGGUGAGUAACGCGUAAGUAACCUGCCCUUAAGUAGGGGAUAACUCUGAGAAAUUGGAGCUAAUACCUUAUGUGGUGAUGGAGUUAAGGCUUCAUCAUUAAAGCCUUAGGGUGCUUGAGGAUGGGCUUGCGUCCGAUUAGCUAGUUGGUAGGGUAAGGGCUUACCAAGGCGAUGAUCGGUAGCUGGUUUGAGAGGACGGUCAGCCACACUGGGAUUGAGAUACGGCCCAGACUCCUACGGGAGGCAGCAGCAAGGAAUAUUGUGCAAUGGGCGAAAGCCUGACACAGCGACGCCGCGUGAGGGAAGAAGGCCUUCGGGUUGUAAACCUCUUUUCUCAGGGAAGAAUAAUGACGGUACCUGGGGAAUAAGUCACGGCUAACUACGUGCCAGCAGCCGCGGUAAUACGUAGGUGGCAAGCGUUAUCCGGAUUUACUGGGCGUAAAGAGGGCGUAGGCGGUUUUUCAAGUCGGAUGUAAAAGUUUUCAGCUUAACCGAGAAAAGUCAUUCGAUACUGUUAAGCUUGAGGGCAGCAGAGGAAGGUGGAACUCCCGGUGUAGCGGUGAUAUGCGUAGAUAUCGGGAGGAACACCAGUGGCGAAGGCGACCUUCUAGGCUGUUCCUGACGUUGAGACCCGAAAGCGUGGGGAGCGAAACGGAUUAGAUACCCGUGUAGUCCACGCCGUAAACGUUGGACACUAGGUAUGGGGAGUAUCG